GAAGUAAAAGUCGUAACAAGGUCUCCGUUGGUGAACCAGCGGAGGGAUCAUUACUGAGUUACCGCUCAUCAACCCUUUGUGAACAUACCUUAACUGUUGCUUCGGCGGGUAGGCGUCCCCUAAAAAGGACGUCUCCCGGCCCUCUCCCGUCCGCGGGUGGGGCGCCCGCCGGAGGAUAACCAAACUCUGAUUUAACGACGUUUCUUCUGAGUGACACAAGCAAAUAAUCAAAACUUUUAACAACGGAUCUCUUGGUUCUGGCAUCGAUGAAGAACGCAGCGAAAUGCGAUAAGUAAUGUGAAUUGCAGAAUUCAGUGAAUCAUCGAAUCUUUGAACGCACAUUGCGCCCGCCAGCAUUCUGGCGGGCAUGCCUGUUCGAGCGUCAUUUCAACCCUCAAGCUCUGCUUGGUGUUGGGGCUCUACGGUUGACGUAGGCCCUUAAAGGUAGUGGCGGACCCUCUCGGAGCCUCCUUUGCGUAGUAACAUUUCGUCUCGCAUUGGGAUUCGGAGGGACUCUAGCCGUAAAACCCCCAAUUUUACUAAGGUUGACCUCGGAUCAGGUAGGAAUACCCGCUGAACUUAAGCAUAUCAAUAAGCGGAGGA
RNAcentral lists this ribosomal RNA (603 nucleotides) under Colletotrichum gloeosporioides. Its description in RNAcentral is "eukaryotic LSU rRNA". The stretch from base 232 to 385 matches the Rfam family "5.8S ribosomal RNA". The record is from RNAcentral. Lineage: Eukaryota; Fungi; Ascomycota; Sordariomycetes; Glomerellales; Glomerellaceae.